This 73-nucleotide transfer RNA is filed under the name Verrucomicrobiota bacterium JB022. Its description in RNAcentral is "tRNA-Ile". It matches the Rfam family "tRNA". Rfam says of the family: Transfer RNA (tRNA) molecules are approximately 80 nucleotides in length. Their secondary structure includes four short double-helical elements and three loops (D, anti-codon, and T loops). Further hydrogen bonds mediate the characteristic L-shaped molecular structure. tRNAs have two regions of fundamental functional importance: the anti-codon, which is responsible for specific mRNA codon recognition, and the 3' end, to which the tRNAs corresponding amino acid is attached (by aminoacyl-tRNA synthetases). tRNAs cope with the degeneracy of the genetic code in two manners: having more than one tRNA (with a specific anti-codon) for a particular amino acid; and 'wobble' base-pairing, i.e. permitting non-standard base-pairing at the 3rd anti-codon position. Lineage: Bacteria; Pseudomonadati; Verrucomicrobiota. The record is from RNAcentral.
GGGCCCAUAGCUCAAUGGUUAGAGCAGGGGACUCAUAAUCCCUUGGUUCUCGGUUCAAAUCCGAGUGGGCCCA